GCCAUUGGAGCAUUAAAUACCCAACAUGUUCACAUAAGUCGCGAACCACUGGAUGCCGCCCUGAGCCACCAGAAUCAGCAUCAGGUAGCUGAUGGGCACCUUCUUUGAGCCCCACUCGGAGGCCCACAGCGGCUCCAAAGAAAUCAUCGCAAAGACAAGCUUUGGCAAAGGAAACCUGAGACUCAGACACGAGCUAUAAUAAUCAUCUUGCAAUGGAGACCUUGGCUGCAACUGAGCGCUUGUGCGUCCCUGGCCAUCCCGUAUACUCCCAGGAGGGUCCGCUACGGCACACUUGCUGCUGUGGUCUCCUGGGAUUGCCCCUGCUCUUUGUUUCCUGAGUCCCUGUCUGAAUCGAAAGCAGGAAUGGGGCCUCACUUGGGCGCAGUCCGUAGGACCAGUGUUGGCUGGAGCAGCCCACCACACAUAUGGUCAGCAGAAUGAGUCCAGCUAGAAGUUUCGGAAUCCGCUCCAUUCUA
Long non-coding RNA from Manis javanica (Malayan pangolin), 476 nucleotides. RefSeq lists it as uncharacterized. NCBI's taxonomy places the organism in Eukaryota, Metazoa, Chordata, Mammalia, Pholidota, Manidae. The record is from RefSeq and is a predicted model, not a curated record.